Molecule: ribosomal RNA, 1075 nt
Filed under: uncultured organism
Description: bacterial SSU rRNA
Rfam family: Bacterial small subunit ribosomal RNA
Source: RNAcentral
CGGGAAACCGGUGCUAAUACCGCAUAACACAUUGAAAUGGAAUCAUUAUGAUGUCAAAGGAGGAAUCCGGUAUAAGAUGGGCCCGCGUCCAAUUAGCUAGUUGGUGAGGUAACGGCUCACCAAGGCGACGAUUGGUAGCCGAACUGAGAGGUUGAUCGGCCACAUUGGGACUGAGACACGGCCCAGACUCCUACGGGAGGCAGCAGUGGGGAAUAUUGCACAAUGGGGGAAACCCUGAUGCAGCAACGCCGCGUGAAGGAUGAAGGUCUUCGGAUUGUAAACUUCUUUGAUUGGGGAAGAAGAAGUGACGGUACCCAAAAAACAAGCCACGGCUAACUACGUGCCAGCAGCCGCGGUAAUACGUAGGUGGCAAGCGUCGUCCGGAAUUACUGGGUGUAAAGGGCGUGUAGGCGGGGAUGCCAAGUCAGGUGUGAAAGCCCAUGGCUCAACUGUGGGACUGCAUCUGAAACUGAAUCUCUUGAGUACUGGAGAGGGAAGUGGAAUUCCUAGUGUAGCGGUGAAAUGCGUAGAGAUUAGGAGGAACACCAGUGGCGAAGGCGGCUUCCUGGACAGUAACUGACGCUGAGGCGCGAAAGCGUGGGGAGCGAACAGGAUUAGAUACCCUGGUAGUCCACGCCGUAAACGAUGGAUACUAGGUGUAGGAGGUAUCGACCCCUUCUGUGCCGGAGUUAACACAUUAAGUAUCCCACCUGGGGAAUACGACCGCAAGGUUGAAACUCAAAGGAAUUGACGGGGGCCCGCACAAGCAGUGGAGUAUGUGGUUUAAUUCGAAGCAACGCGAAGAACCUUACCAGGGCUUGACAUCCCUUGACAGCUCUAGAGAUAGAGUUUCCCUUCGGGGCAAGGAGACAGGUGGUGCAUGGUUGUCGUCAGCUCGUGUCGUGAGAUGUUGGGUUAAGUCCCGUAACGAGCGCAACCCUUAUUGUUAGUUGCCAGCAAGUAAAGUUGGGCACUCUAACGAGACUGCCGGUGAUAAAUCGGAGGAAGGUGGGGAUGACGUCAAAUCAUCAUGCCCCUUAUGUCCUGGGCUACACACGUACUACAAUGGCUGGUA